This 465-nucleotide ribosomal RNA is filed under the name uncultured bacterium. RNAcentral describes it as "bacterial SSU rRNA". It matches the Rfam family "Bacterial small subunit ribosomal RNA", at positions 917 to 1382 of the family's 1533-position model. The record is from RNAcentral.
GGGCCCGCACAAGCGGAGGAACAUGUGGUUUAAUUCGAUGAUACGCGAGGAACCUUACCCGGGCUUGAAUUGCAGACGAACGCGAUAGAGAUAUCAAGGCCCUUCGGGGCGUCUGUGAAGGUGCUGCAUGGUUGUCGUCAGCUCGUGCCGUGAGGUGUCGGCUUAAGUGCCAUAACGAGCGCAACCCCUCUCCAAAGUUGCCAUCAGGCUAUGCUGGGCACUCUUUGGACACUGCCACCGUAAGGUGUGAGGAAGGUGGGGAUGACGUCAAAUCAGCACGGCCCUUACGUCCGGGGCUACACACGUGUUACAAUGGCGCGUACAGAGGGAAGGCCGCCGGCAACGUCGGUCGAAUCUUGAAAGCGCGCCUCAGUUCGGACUGGAGUCUGCAACCCGACUCCACGAAGCUGGAUUCGCUAGUAAUCGCGCAUCAGCCAUGGCGCGGUGAAUACGUUCCCGGGCCUU